GAUGAACGCUGGCGGCGUGCCUAAUACAUGCAAGUCGAGCGAACGGACGAGAAGCUUGCUUCUCUGAUGUUAGCGGCGGACGGGUGAGUAACACGUGGAUAACCUACCUAUAAGACUGGGAUAACUUCGGGAAACCGUAGCUAAUACCGGAUAAUAUUUUGAACCGCAUGGUUCAAAAGUGAAAGACGUUCUUGCUGUCACUUAUAGAUGGAUCCGCGCUGCAUUAGCUAGUUGGUAAGGUAACGGCUUACCAAGGCAACGAUGCAUAGCCGACCUGAGAGGGUGAUCGGCCACACUGGAACUGAGACACGGUCCAGACUCCUACGGGAGGCAGCAGUAGGGAAUCUUCCGCAAUGGGCGAAAGCCUGACGGAGCAACGCCGCGUGAGUGAUGAAGGUCUUCGGAUCGUAAAACUCUGUUAUUAGGGAAGAACAUAUGUGUAAGUAACUGUGCACAUCUUGACGGUACCUAAUCAGAAAGCCACGGCUAACUACGUG
RNAcentral lists this ribosomal RNA (497 nucleotides) under uncultured bacterium. RNAcentral's name for it is "partial 16S ribosomal RNA". It matches the Rfam family "Bacterial small subunit ribosomal RNA", at positions 28 to 507 of the family's 1533-position model. The record is from RNAcentral.